Molecule: long non-coding RNA, 2593 nt
Filed under: Malus domestica (apple)
Lineage: Eukaryota; Viridiplantae; Streptophyta; Magnoliopsida; Rosales; Rosaceae
Description: long non-coding RNA (MDOM_LNC014208)
Source: RNAcentral
ACAGCAAGGAAACUCAGUUUCCUCCUCCAUUUGUUCAUUCCUGCUCACUUCAAUUUGAACGAAAAUGAUCCCCACCGAGUCUGGAGGGCUCCUCCAUUCCUCCCUUUGUUUGUGUUAUUACAAGUCUCCAUAUCUCUUCCCUCCGUGACUCAGCUGACGACGACGGGCUAUUUCCGUUUGAAAGCCGGCAAAUCGGACCUCAACGUUUGACCAAUCGUCUCCCUUUCAUCUCAGGAACAAGAAACAGCCGUUGCAUGCCUCGAUUUGUUACGGUUUCGAUGAGGAUUUUUUAAUACUCCUCAGAGUUUUCCUACGUUUAUGCGAUGAUUCCGGCGAAGGUCGUCGUCGAUGUUGGUCUCAAACUAUUCCUCAGCACCUCAGGUACCUUCUUCAUCUAUUGUAUGUAAAGAUUCUGCUUCAAAUAUUUGAUUUAAUAUAAAUGGGUUUUAUUUAAUUUUUCAUAUUUUUUUCCUUCAAAAUUCUGGGUUGUGCACAAAUUUUCGUUAGCAGGUCUCAAUCAAAGUUGUGUAUGCUUUGUGCAGAGAGAGAAAGCGGCUGGGAUAUGAGAAAUAAGCGUUUUUACAAAAUCUUAAUAUACCAGUGCGAGUGAAGUGUGUCUGUUUAGUACUAAUAUUUCAGUUCAAGUAAAGUUUACUGCAUUUUUCUACAAAUAGGUACGAUAAUGGUUUAUAGAUUCCCUAUUUAUAUCAUUGGAAUAUAUUUGUUCAAAGUAAUAUUACAAUGAUUUCGAACAAAGCUUAACCAUAAUAGGCAGUAGACAUUAUAUAUCUGCUAAUUUGUUGAAACUAUUGGUGCUCUAUAAAGAGAUAAAAUAUAUGUUACCCACAAAAUAUAAUGUGAAGAUUAUAAACUGUGAAGGGGAUCUCUUACUUCAUUGGAACAGGAACUGACGUAGAACUACGGAUAGAACCCCGGUAUCUACUUAUAUGUUGAGUUACACACUAAAUCUAUAAAUACUUUUUACAGAUAACAUGCAAAUUUCCUUCUUUCAGUCUGUUGUAUGCCUAUGACGUGAUAAACAUAUAAAAAGUUUGCGAAAAUUGAUGGCUCAUGUCAUAACAAAUACUUUUUCAAAUUCUAAGUUUUUAUCCGCUUUCGCUCUUUUUUGUUCAAUGGUUUCAAUUAAUUGCUUUUAGUAUAACAUGCCCAUAUGUUACCGGUUCUAUGUUACCGAGUAUAGCUUGAGGUUAUGAAUGUCCCUGAAAGCACCUUAAUUUUGUGUAUAAUUUAAGUUUUUGCAUUGUGAAGAUGAGCAAGUUGGCAUCUAGGAGUGCAUGUCACGUGAAGAUGAUAUUGGAGGCCUUACAGGUAGAAUCGUUCAGGUCAUUAUUUUGAGGAUUUGAUUUGAUUUGUUUUUUUUUUUUUCUCUUUAUUACUAAGAUUUUUCCUAACCACUUUACAUAUGGGGCUACCAAAAAACAUUGAAUUGGCACCAAAAUGGCCGUAAUUUUCAUUUUACAUAAUUUUUGCAAUCCUUUGUUGAAAUAUGCAGCACAUGGUAGGAGAUAAUUCUUCUUCAUUGUGAACAUUCAGGUAAAUCUGUCUUUCAUGGGUUUUUCUAUUAUUCUUUGCAGUUUUUCCCUGUUGCUUGCCAUUAAUUACCAAAUUAUCUAUGUGAACUAGGUCCAAGUUCAACUACUUAUGGUUUGGCACUAUACUAUAUGAUGAAUUCUCCAAUCGAAGAUACACCCUUGCUACAGAGUUUUAUCAAGGGGGAUGAUUUAUAUGAAAUUCAAGGUUUAACUUCUAACUGAUUCUUCUCUCCUCAGGGUUCAUGGAUUGUUAAGCAAUGUGUGGGAAGAAAGCAUGCCUCAUUGACCAGGCACUUGAAAUCAAUUAUUUCCACGAGAAGAACUAUUUGGAGGUAUAUCAAUUUUUAGCAUGCUUUUAUAUAUGUUCUUUGAUCACCCUACUUUGUGGACAGCUUAUUGACACUUCACUGAAAUUCAAGGCCUUCUGUUUUCGGGUUCAAUUUGUUAGAGUAUAUAGAGUUAAGGUGAUUCCAAGUGUCACAUGAUUUGUCUAUAUAUUUGUGAGGUUCAAUCAAUGUCAUAUGAAGAUGGUAGCAUGUGUUACAAGAUUAAACCAUCUCAGUAUAGUGUCAAGAUGCAGUUAGUGAGUCAGUUAUUUUAGAGGGAUAUAAUCCUCACUCAUUGUGUAGUAUUGUUUUUGGUAAUUAAUUAAUUAUUUUAAAUGCAAUAUCAUGAAUAUUUAUACUCAUUUAUAUAUUUGUAAAGAACAUCAGAACACACGAAUGUAAUAUAUGUACAUAUUAAACACUACUCCUUAACACAUAUAUUUUCUACACUUUCUACAUUUUCAACAAUUUUCUAAACCCCGCAGCAACGCGCGAGUACACUUGCUUGUAUUGGUUCUAUUGCUGUCAUUAAGAGCACAACUGGUAGUGCUUGUUGCCACGUAUGCUUGUAUGCUACCUUCCCAGCUUUUGGUGUAUUCUUUCUUCUUUUUUUUCGGUAACAAGCUUUUGGUGUAUCCAAUUCAACUAUAUUCUUCCGUUGACGACAAGUAUGACAAUAUAUAUGACAUUGUUCCUUGCAUUACAACAACAACA